UAUUACAUGCUCUAUACUUUGUUCAUUUCCUUAUGUGUUAUUUUCCAGUCUCAUAUGAUCCCCUUUUUUAUUUGCCGCAUGCUUUCUACCGUUGGUAAAUUGCUCCAAUAAUUAAGGGAGAGUUGUCUGAUUUUUUAUUCUUAAUUGAUUCUGUAGUUCUAUAAUUGUUUCUUGCCUUAUUGACUUGACUUUCAAACUAUUAUAUAUACCCUCUUCUCUUUUCAUUACACACAUGAACAAUGACACUAUUCCGAACUCUCUCUUACACACAUACAUACUCUCUUGCUUCUCUUAGUAUUUACUUGAUACUCAGUCAGUUGCAAGCAAAAAAUGAGUGAUUACAUUUAUCUACUACUCUAUUGUGCUACUGCUCUAUUGCUCUACACAUUAUUUCUCUACUCCCAUUCAUUGUACUGCUCUUCACUCCUCACUCUGCACUUAUUCUCUCAUUUUUACUAGUAUGUGUCAAAUUUAACUUACAGAAUCUAGAACAAUAUGUCUCUAUUUGUAUUGCACUUCCUUUUGUUUCUCUUAUGCUUCUACUUGUGGUUCUGUUGUCUCCCUUGCAAUUAGCAUAACUACUUUUCCAUGUGAUUACAUGUUCCCUAUAAUUUAGCAUGUCUACAGCUUUCUUACAUAUUCUACUACUAUUCUUCCCUACCCCCUAACCCCCAAUACAUUAUAAUCAUAACACCUAGUUACUAUGUGAUCCUAAACCCUUCCUCCCUAAACCUAUUGUGUAACUCUAUUUAGCACCCUUAAAUCUAAUGUUGUUAAGCUACUGGCAUGAAUACUUUGUGAUAGACUAUUAAUGUGACUAUUCAAGUUCUGUAGUACUUAUCUGGUGUUAACCUGUGUGCAAAUAUGCUUUCGCAUAUGAAUUACUUGUCCCUAAUUCCUCCUUUCCCAGUUUGUGUUUGAACUAUGUAUGUUGAUUUGGUUUUGAUUUGCUGAUUGUACUUUUUCUUUUCUUCUUCAAAUCGGUUUUCACUAAGGCAAACUCUUCUAUUUCUUUCCAAAACUUAUUUUAAACUAAUCAUUAUCAAAAUUAUUUCCAACUCAACUCUUUUAAACCUAUGUUAAAGCACUCUGACUCUACUCUUAGUCCACUAAGUUCUACCCUUUUGUGUGAGCCUUGCCUUGGGAACCUUGAGCUUCCUCUGAACUUGGACACACAAAAGCUGGCCUUUUCACACUGCACUUACUCUGUCUUGGCUAUGAAAUCUGGGUGUGAGCACUGCUCGGGAUCCCUUGAGGUCCUUAGGGAGCUCUAAUACACCUAUAUAUGAGAAAGACUAUGGAACAAUCUUGGCACUUGAGGUGUUUAUUACAUAACUCGGGGAGAAAGUCCUAAUCAGGCGCUAAAAAACUG
RNAcentral lists this long non-coding RNA (1372 nucleotides) under Nicotiana benthamiana. RNAcentral's name for it is "long non-coding RNA (NBEN_LNC025238)". Lineage: Eukaryota; Viridiplantae; Streptophyta; Magnoliopsida; Solanales; Solanaceae. The record is from RNAcentral.